This 348-nucleotide unclassified non-coding RNA is filed under the name soil metagenome. Its description in RNAcentral is "partial contains 5.8S ribosomal RNA, internal transcribed spacer 2, and large subunit ribosomal RNA". The stretch from base 1 to 120 matches the Rfam family "5.8S ribosomal RNA", at positions 35 to 154 of the family's 154-position model. The record is from RNAcentral.
GAUGAAGAACGUAGCGAAAUGCGAUAAGUAAUGUGAAUUGCAGGAUUCAGUGAAUCAUCGAAUCUUUGAACGCACAUUGCGCCCGCCAGUAUUCUGGCGGGCAUGCCUGUCUGAGCGUCAUUUCAACCCUCAUGCCCCUAGGGCGUGGUGUUGGGGAUCGGCCAAAGCCCGCGAGGGACGGCCGGCCCCUAAAUCUAGUGGCGGACCCGUCGUGGCCUCCUCUGCGAAGUAGUGAUAUUCCGCAUCGGAGAGCGAUGAGCCCCUGCCGUUAAACCCCCAACUUUCCAAGGUUGACCUCAGAUCAGGUAGGAAUACCCGCUGAACUUAAGCAUAUCAAUAAGCGGAGGA